GGGCAAUUAUGCCCGUACACGAAGCAACGAUUAGGAGAAGUAUUGUAGUAUAGUGUAUCCUUAAUUGUAUUGCACGAAAGAGAGAGCUAAGUGGGAAAUCCAUGGAUCUCGGAAGUUUUUGGAUUUCAUUUCGCGAACAGAGCGGACAUUGAAUGUGAUGCGCAAGAAAAGCUCCUGAAACCUCUAGCAUUAGCAAACAUGUCACGCAGUUGCUGUGCUCCUAAAAAUACCGCCUCCUCUCCAAACCCAUCCCAUGCCCCACAGUCACUUCCAGCCUCAUGCGGUGGAGACACAUAAUCAAGCUUUCAUCCAGUGGUUGCAGCUUGUUUGUUUUGAGAGUAAGGCGUGUGACAUUAAGUGAGCUGGAAAUGUCUCAGAGGACAAAACAACGACGGCUGAUGAAAUCAUUUGCAAAAGGAAUCAGUUUAGAUCUGCUGUUCAAGAGCUGCAGGGAUCAUUAAAUGCCAAAUCAGU
This is a long non-coding RNA of Clupea harengus (Atlantic herring), 474 nucleotides long. The record is from Ensembl. NCBI's taxonomy places the organism in Eukaryota, Metazoa, Chordata, Actinopteri, Clupeiformes, Clupeidae.